AUACAUGAGGGCACCUGAUCAGCCAUGCCGCGUGAGUGAUGAAGGCCCUAGGGUUGUAAAGCUCUUUUGUGCGGGAAGAUAAUGACGGUACCGCAAGAAUAAGCCCCGGCUAACUUCGUGCCAGCAGCCGCGGUAAUGCUACGUGCCCGCCGCCACUAUAAUUACGACCCGCGCCGCGGUAAUAACGGCCCCCAGGGCCCAGGUAUAAAAGGUGCGGGGGUUUGGGGGGGGGGGGCUCUUUAU
This 243-nucleotide ribosomal RNA is filed under the name uncultured Bradyrhizobium sp. Its description in RNAcentral is "partial 16S ribosomal RNA". The stretch from base 1 to 150 matches the Rfam family "Bacterial small subunit ribosomal RNA", at positions 367 to 539 of the family's 1533-position model. The record is from RNAcentral. Lineage: Bacteria; Pseudomonadati; Pseudomonadota; Alphaproteobacteria; Hyphomicrobiales; Nitrobacteraceae.